RNAcentral lists this ribosomal RNA (467 nucleotides) under uncultured bacterium. RNAcentral describes it as "partial 16S ribosomal RNA". It matches the Rfam family "Bacterial small subunit ribosomal RNA", at positions 29 to 507 of the family's 1533-position model. The record is from RNAcentral.
ACGAACGCUGGCGGCGUGCUUAACACCUGCAAGUCGAACGGAAAGGCCCUGCUUUUGUGGGGUGCUCGAGUGGCGAACGGGUGAGUAACACGUGAGUAACCUGCCCUUGACUUUGGGAUAACUUCAGGAAACUGGGGCUAAUACCGGAUAGGAGCUCCUGCUGCAUGGUGGGGGUUGGAAAGUUUCGGCGGUUGGAGAUGGACUCGCGGCUUAUCAGCUUGUUGGUGGGGUAGUGGCUUACCACGGCUUUGACGGGUAGCCGGCCUGAGAGGGUGACCGGCGACAUGGGGACUGAGGGAGGGACCAGAAGCGUACGGGAGGCAGCAGGGGGAAGUAUGGCAGAAUGGGCGGAAGACUGAGGCAGCAACGCUGGGUGCGGGAUGUCGGCCUUCGGGUUGUAAACAGAUUUCGCCGGUGACGAAGCGUGAGUGACGGUAAUGGGUAAAGAAGCACCGGCUAACUACGUG